This 1376-nucleotide ribosomal RNA is filed under the name uncultured bacterium. RNAcentral describes it as "bacterial SSU rRNA". It matches the Rfam family "Bacterial small subunit ribosomal RNA". The record is from RNAcentral.
AGAGUUUGAUCCUGGCUCAGGACGAACGCUGGCGGCGCGCCUAACACAUGCAAGUCGAACGAAGUCAAGAGGAGCUUGCUCUUUUUGACUUAGUGGCGAACGGGUGAGUAACGCGUGAGGAACCUGCCUCAAAGAGGGGGACAACAGUUGGAAACGACUGCUAAUACCGCAUAAGCCCACAGCUCCGCAUGGAGCAGAGGGAAAAGGAGCAAUCCGCUUUGAGAUGGCCUCGCGUCCGAUUAGCUAGUUGGUGAGGUAACGGCCCACCAAGGCGACGAUCGGUAGCCGGACUGAGAGGUUGAUCGGCCACAUUGGGACUGAGACACGGCCCAGACUCCUACGGGAGGCAGCAGUGGGGAAUAUUGCACAAUGGGGGAAACCCUGAUGCAGCGACGCCGCGUGGAGGAAGAAGGUCUUCGGAUUGUAAACUCCUGUUGUUGGGGAAGAUAAUGACGGUACCCAACAAGGAAGUGACGGCUAACUACGUGCCAGCAGCCGCGGUAAAACGUAGGUCACAAGCGUUGUCCGGAAUUACUGGGUGUAAAGGGAGCGCAGGCGGGAAGACAAGUUGGAAGUGAAAUCUAUGGGCUCAACCCAUAAACUGCUUUCAAAACUGUUUUUCUUGAGUAGUGCAGAGGUAGGCGGAAUUCCCGGUGUAGCGGUGGAAUGCGUAGAUAUCGGGAGGAACACCAGUGGCGAAGGCGGCCUACUGGGCACCAACUGACGCUGAGGCUCGAAAGUGUGGGUAGCAAACAGGAUUAGAUACCCUGGUAGUCCACACUGUAAACGAUGAUUACUAGGUGUUGGGGGAUUGACCCCCUCAGUGCCGCAGUUAACACAAUAAGUAAUCCACCUGGGGAGUACGACCGCAAGGUUGAAACUCAAAGGAAUUGACGGGGGCCCGCACAAGCAGUGGAGUAUGUGGUUUAAUUCGACGCAACGCGAAGAACCUUACCAAGUCUUGACAUCCUGCGACGUGCAUAGAAAUAUGUAUUUCCUUCGGGACGCAGAGACAGGUGGUGCAUGGUUGUCGUCAGCUCGUGUCGUGAGAUGUUGGGUUAAGUCCCGCAACGAGCGCAACCCCCGCCGCGUGUUGCCAGCAUUGAGUUGGGCACUCGCGCGGGACUGCCGGCGUCAAGCCGGAGGAAGGUGGGGACGACGUCAAGUCAUCAUGCCCCUCAUGCCCUGGGCUGCACACGUGCUACAAUGGCCGGUACAGCGGGCUGCGACGCCGCGAGGCGGAGCGAAUCCCACAAAGCCGGCCCCAGUUCGGACCGCAGGCUGCAACCCGCCUGCGCGAAGCCGGAGUUGCUAGUAAUCGCGGAUCAGCAUGCCGCGGUGAAUACGUUCCCGGGCCUUGCACUCACCGCCCGUCA